Molecule: non-coding RNA, 537 nt
Organism: Heterocephalus glaber (naked mole-rat)
Lineage: Eukaryota; Metazoa; Chordata; Mammalia; Rodentia; Bathyergidae
Source: the annotation of a RefSeq genome assembly
GUCUGGAAAAGCACAAUCUGCACCAUGGCCUGGGCUCCUCUCCUGCUCACACUUGUGGCUCACAUCACAGGGGCUGCAUCACAGGCUGUGGUGACUCAGGAAUCUUCCCUGUCCACAACUCCUGGAGGGACGGUCACACUCACCUGUGGCUCCAGUACUGGAGCUGUCACAACCAGUAACUAUGCUGCUUGGGUACAACAGAAGCCCUACCAAGCAUCCCAGGGUCUAAUAGGUGACACUAGCAACCGGGUGCCUGGGAUCCCUGCCCGAUUCUCAGGCUCCCUGCUUGGAAACAAGGCUGCCCUCACCAUCACAGGAGCCCAGCCUGAAGAUGAGGCCAGCUAUUACUGUGCCCUGUGGUACAGCAGCCAUUUCCACAGUGACACAGGCAUAUGGGGAAGUGAGACAAGAACACCCUUGUUCAGACUCAUCCUCUGCUUCUCAGCACCUCCUUGCAUACAAAUACAAGACAAGGAAUUAUGUCUAGAAUCUGAGAGAGAUGUGAAUCUUUGGGGACUAGAGAAGGGACCAUGGUAG